UACGAAGGGGGCUAGCGUUGCUCGGAAUCACUGGGCGUAAAGCGCACGUAGGCGGCUUUUUAAGUCAGGGGUGAAAUCCUGGAGCUCAACUCCAGAACUGCCUUUGAUACUGAGAAGCUUGAGUCCGGGAGAGGGAAGUGGAAUUUCCGGUGUAGCGGUGAAAUGCGUAGAUAUCGGAAGGAACAUCAGUGGCGAAAGCGACUUCCUGGACCAAUACUGACGCUCAUGUGCGAAAGCGUGGGGAGCAAACAGG
RNAcentral lists this ribosomal RNA (253 nucleotides) under uncultured bacterium. RNAcentral's name for it is "partial 16S ribosomal RNA". It matches the Rfam family "Bacterial small subunit ribosomal RNA", at positions 524 to 776 of the family's 1533-position model. The record is from RNAcentral.